This 88-nucleotide microRNA precursor is filed under the name Podarcis lilfordi (Lilford's wall lizard). The record is from RNAcentral. Lineage: Eukaryota; Metazoa; Chordata; Lepidosauria; Squamata; Lacertidae.
GUGUGUGUGUGUAUGUGUAUGUGUGUAUAUAUAUAUACACACACACGUGUAUAUAUAUAUAUAUAUAUAUACACACACACACACACAC